RNAcentral lists this ribosomal RNA (253 nucleotides) under uncultured bacterium. Its description in RNAcentral is "partial 16S ribosomal RNA". It matches the Rfam family "Bacterial small subunit ribosomal RNA", at positions 524 to 776 of the family's 1533-position model. The record is from RNAcentral.
UACAGAGGGGGCGAGCGUUGUUCGGAAUUACUGGGCGUAAAGGGCGCGUAGGCGGCCCGCUAAGUCGAACGUGAAAUCCCCAGACUCAACCUGGGAACUGCGUCCGAUACUGGCAGGCUUGAAUCCGGGAGAGGGAUGUGGAAUUCCAGGUGUAGCGGUGAAAUGCGUAGAUAUCAGGAGGAACACCUGUGGUGUAGACGGCUUACUGGACCGCAACUGACGCUGAAACACGAAAGCGUGGGUAGCAAACAGG